GACCAACCCCAUGGAAGCACCUGUGAUGGUUUCCAAUACACCUCCUCCCCUCUGGAAAAAAGAGGUUGCUCUGAGCAUGACCCCUCCUGCCUGCUGACAGCAAGUGCUGGUUCAACACAGAUGCCUGGAGAAGAAUUAGUGAAAAGCUUUGUACAAGACUGCAGGGCAAAUUCAGGCUCAUGGAGCUUUUCCUGCUUUGACUGAAUCAUGACAUUCAGACUGGAGUCAUGUUUUCUCUGGCGGCAGCAGCACUGAGAUUUCUGAAGCAGAUGCUCUGUGAUCUUCAGCCACACCUGGAUAUCCUCUGUCAUCAGGUCAGGAAGAACCUUGGUCCUUUGUGUGCUGCACAGAGUCCUGCUUGCACAGAGAGGAAAUGAAGCCCUAGGAGGUUGUUUUCUAAUAUUCCUAAUUUGCACUGCAGAAGUCUGUGGAGUUGGGGCAAGAAAACAAAGCAGACCUGUCUGACCACUUGGAAACUUUCUACUUGUGAAUAUAGCUGCCAAUUCUGACACAGCCAGGGAGAAAGACAACUUCAAAAUGUGUUAUGUCUGGCUGGGAUGAGAGCCAGAUUAUUAACAGGAUGACUUGUUUUGUGAGAGCAAGAACAAAUCCAGACAAGAUUUGGAAGAGCUCUUUCAUCAGAUCAAAAUAUUUAUAAUGUCAGUGCCAAUCAGAUGAUGGAUCAAUGCACCUUCUUAGAGAAACAGCUGUAUU
Molecule: long non-coding RNA, 714 nt
Organism: Cygnus atratus (black swan)
Lineage: Eukaryota; Metazoa; Chordata; Aves; Anseriformes; Anatidae
Exons: 6
Source: RefSeq, a predicted model, not a curated record